This 389-nucleotide unclassified non-coding RNA is filed under the name uncultured fungus. RNAcentral's name for it is "partial contains small subunit ribosomal RNA, internal transcribed spacer 1, and 5.8S ribosomal RNA". The stretch from base 1 to 73 matches the Rfam family "Eukaryotic small subunit ribosomal RNA", at positions 1759 to 1831 of the family's 1831-position model. The record is from RNAcentral. Lineage: Eukaryota; Fungi.
GCAAACUUGGUCAUUUAGAGGAAGUAAAAGUCGUAACAAGGUUUCCGUAGGUGAACCUGCGGAAGGAUCAUUAUUGAAUAAAACAUGAUCAGGUUGUUGCUGGCUUUUAUAAAUAAGCAUUGUGCACACUUGGUCUGCUUUUAAUCUCCUCUUGUGCAUUUUGUGUAGAUUGAAACAAACUUGUCGAGAUGACUCGGUUAGAGAAUCUGCCGUGUAAAAGCCGGCUUUUCUUGUGUCUCAAAUCUGCAAUAUUUUUUUUACACACACUGUCUUAAAGUAUUAGAAUGGAUAGACAUAUCCCACAGGUCAUGUUUAAUGCCUGUAAAUAAAAAUGAAAUACAACUUUCAACAACGGAUCUCUUGGCUCUCGCAUCGAUGAAGAACGCAGC